AGAGUUUGAUCCUGGCUCAGGAUGAACGCUGGCGGCAUGCCUAAUACAUGCAAGUCGAACGAACUAGUUUACUAGUUAGUGGCGAACGGGUGAGUAACGCGUGGGGAACCUGCCUUUAAGACGAGAAUAACUAUUGGAAACGAUAGCUAAUACUGGAUAGGAUAUAUUAUCACAUGAUUUUAUAUUUAAAGGUUUAAAACACUUAAAGAGGGUCCCGCGUCGCAUUAGCUAGUUGGUGAGGUAACGGCUCACCAAGGCGACGAUGCGUAGCCGGGCUGAGAGGCUGAACGGCCACAUUGGGACUGAGACACGGCCCAAACUCCUACGGGAGGCAGCAGUAGGGAAUUUUCGGCAAUGGGGGAAACCCUGACCGAGCAAUGCCGCGUGAAUGAUGAAGGUUUUCGGAUUGUAAAGUUCUGUU
This 421-nucleotide ribosomal RNA is filed under the name uncultured Bacillota bacterium. RNAcentral describes it as "bacterial SSU rRNA". It matches the Rfam family "Bacterial small subunit ribosomal RNA", at positions 8 to 437 of the family's 1533-position model. Lineage: Bacteria; Bacillati; Bacillota. The record is from RNAcentral.